CAAUAGCGUAUAUUAAAGUUGUUGCGGUUAAAAAGCUCGUAGUUGGAUUUCUGCUGAGAACGACCGGUCCGCCCUUUGGGUGUGUAUCUGGCUCUUUCUUGGCAUCUUCUUGGUGAACGUUGCUGCACUUGACUGUGUGGAGCGCUACCCAGGACUUUUACUUUGAGGAAAUUAGAGUGUUUCAAGCAGGCAUACGCCUUGAAUACAUUAGCAUGGAAUAAUAAGAUAGGACCUCGGUUCUAUUUUGUUGGUUUCUAGAGCUGAGGUAAUGAUUAAUAGGGAUAGUUGGGGGCAUUCGUAUUUAACUGUCAGAGGUGAAAUUCUUGGAUUUAUUAAAGACUAACUUAUGCGAAAGCAUUUGCCAAGGAUGUUUUCAUUAA
This 380-nucleotide ribosomal RNA is filed under the name uncultured eukaryote. Its description in RNAcentral is "partial 18S ribosomal RNA". It matches the Rfam family "Eukaryotic small subunit ribosomal RNA", at positions 592 to 976 of the family's 1831-position model. The record is from RNAcentral.